CUUUAUAAGGCCCAGGGAGACAUCAGAGCUCCAUCAGUCGUCAUGACAGCUUGCAAGUCUCUCCUGCUCCUCUGUAUAGUUCUAGCGGCUGUGGCCGCCAUGGCGCAGCAGUCUGCUGACGCGCCACCACCAGCGGUCCCUGGAGGGGAUGUCGCCAGCAACCAGGAGCCGGUGCAGCCAGUAACGGGCGACGAGGCAUCCGGGGACCAGGCGCUGCAAGACCGCUGGGGAAUAUCCGUGCACUUCCACAGCGGCUGAGCGAAUUGCUGGCAGCACCAAGAAACACAUAUCUCUACCUUAUUUUAAAGUUUUCAGUGUAUUCCACACUUCAGACUUUUAACACUAUUCCUGUUUCCAAAUCAAGAGCGACCUUUCCCUUUUUUCAAAUCUAUAAAAGAACAUUACAAAAAAUAAAUAAAUUUUAGUACUCAAAAAGCA
This is a long non-coding RNA of Schistocerca gregaria, 438 nucleotides long. RefSeq lists it as uncharacterized. NCBI's taxonomy places the organism in Eukaryota, Metazoa, Arthropoda, Insecta, Orthoptera, Acrididae. The record is from RefSeq and is a predicted model, not a curated record. The transcript is spliced from 2 exons.